Molecule: ribosomal RNA, 497 nt
Filed under: uncultured bacterium
Lineage: Bacteria
Description: partial 16S ribosomal RNA
Rfam family: Bacterial small subunit ribosomal RNA
Source: RNAcentral
GAUGAACGCUGGCGGCGUGCCUAAUACAUGCCAGUCGAGCGAACGGACGAGAAGCUUGCUUCUCUGAUGUUAGCGGCGGACGGGUGAGUAACACGUGGAUAACCUACCUAUAAGACUGGGAUAACUUCGGGAAACCGGAGCUAAUACCGGAUAAUAUUUUGAACCGCAUGGUUCAAAAGUGAAAGACGGUCUUGCUGUCACUUAUAGAUGGAUCCGCGCUGCAUUAGCUAGUUGGUAAGGUAACGGCUUACCAAGGCAACGAUGCAUAGCCGACCUGAGAGGGUGAUCGGCCACACUGGAACUGAGACACGGUCCAGACUCCUACGGGAGGCAGCAGUAGGGAAUCUUCCGCAAUGGGCGAAAGCCUGACGGAGCAACGCCGCGUGAGUGAUGAAGGUCUUCGGAUCGUAAAACUCUGUUAUUAGGGAAGAACAUAUGUGUAAGUAACUGUGCACAUCUUGACGGUACCUAAUCAGAAAGCAACGGCUAACUACGUG